RNAcentral lists this transfer RNA (72 nucleotides) under Camelus bactrianus (Bactrian camel). It matches the Rfam family "tRNA". From Rfam's summary of the family: Transfer RNA (tRNA) molecules are approximately 80 nucleotides in length. Their secondary structure includes four short double-helical elements and three loops (D, anti-codon, and T loops). Further hydrogen bonds mediate the characteristic L-shaped molecular structure. tRNAs have two regions of fundamental functional importance: the anti-codon, which is responsible for specific mRNA codon recognition, and the 3' end, to which the tRNAs corresponding amino acid is attached (by aminoacyl-tRNA synthetases). tRNAs cope with the degeneracy of the genetic code in two manners: having more than one tRNA (with a specific anti-codon) for a particular amino acid; and 'wobble' base-pairing, i.e. permitting non-standard base-pairing at the 3rd anti-codon position. RNAcentral also lists the same sequence under 2 other names. Lineage: Eukaryota; Metazoa; Chordata; Mammalia; Artiodactyla; Camelidae. The record is from Rfam by way of RNAcentral.
GAGGGUACAGCUCAGUGGCAGAGCACAUGCUUAGCAUGCACAAGGUCCUGGGUUCAAUCCCCAGUAUCUCUG